UUCGUUAAAAAUUUGGUAUUGCUUCUUAGGAUUAUUCCUUGUUGUCCAAUUUAUUGUGAUAGUUUCGUUUUGGUGUUGAUAUUAAAAUUCGUAUUUGUACUCCUUGAACUAGUUAAUCGUGUCAGUAUAUUUUGGAGACUUUAUUCGUUUGUACAAUUGUUCGUAUAUUUUCGUUCACAUUCGGGAGUCAUUUUGAUCAUUGAUAUAUUGUGAUAAUCAAUAAUAUUUGUAUUUGAUAAUUCGAUCUCAUUUGAAUAUGGUCAUGUAAGCCUUGUGAUUUGAACCCCUUUUGGCUUACAUUUUGUAGUUUGAUCCUUAGGUAUACUUGAGCUAACCACCUGUGGGGGUACCGCAGGCAUGUCCACUUGACACAAGGGCAUGACACCUUCCGUGGCGGUGUGAUUAGUCCACGGCGUAUCCUUUUGUAUGCUCUGGGUAUGAGCUUUGGCCAUCUGAUAUAUUUGUUCAGGAUACGUACGGGUCGACCCAGUAUUUUAUUUGAUUCGAUUUGUUUGGCGGAUUAGUGACGUAUGUGUCGUGCGUACUAUCCGAUUUGAUUUGUAUACAUCAUGGUACCGAUGUAUUUUGUUAGCCUUUGGCUAUUUGUAUUUGAGCUCAGUAUGAAAUUGUUACCAUAUAACCAUUUGAUUCAGCCUUAUUUAUUUGGAAUUCUGUUG
Molecule: long non-coding RNA, 677 nt
Filed under: Panax ginseng (ginseng)
Lineage: Eukaryota; Viridiplantae; Streptophyta; Magnoliopsida; Apiales; Araliaceae
Description: long non-coding RNA (PGIN_LNC015265)
Source: RNAcentral